ACUCCUACGGGAGGCAGCAGUGGGGAAUAUUGCACAAUGGGCGCAAGCCUGAUGCAGCCAUGCCGCGUGUAUGAAGAAGGCCUUCGGGUUGUAAAGUACUUUCAGCAGUGAGGAAGGUGGGUAUGUUAAUAGCAUAUUCAUUUGACGUUAGCUGCAGAAGAAGCACCGGCUAACUCCGUGCCAGCAGCCGCGGUAAUACGGAGGGUGCGAGCGUUAAUCGGAAUUACUGGGCGUAAAGCGCAUGCAGGUGGUUUGUUAAGUCAGAUGUGAAAGCCCGGGGCUCAACCUCGGAAUUGCAUUUGAAACUGGCAAACUAGAGUACUGUAGAGGGGGGUAGAAUUUCAGGUGUAGCGGUGAAAUGCGUAGAGAUCUGAAGGAUACCGGUGGCGAAGGCGGCCCCCUGGACAGAUACUGACACUCAGAUGCGAAAGCUGGGGAGCAAACAGGAUUAGAUACCCUGGUAGGCUCU
Molecule: ribosomal RNA, 469 nt
Filed under: uncultured bacterium
Lineage: Bacteria
Description: bacterial SSU rRNA
Rfam family: Bacterial small subunit ribosomal RNA
Source: RNAcentral